Long non-coding RNA from Scleropages formosus (Asian bonytongue), 1582 nucleotides. The record is from Ensembl. Lineage: Eukaryota; Metazoa; Chordata; Actinopteri; Osteoglossiformes; Osteoglossidae.
UUAUAGAAAUUGGAUGGAUGGAUGGAUGCAUGCAUGCAGUAUGCUGUGCUUACCUCAGUUACACAUCUACAAGCAAUGUGUUAUAAGUACUGAAGUGUUACUGAGGCUGAGGCCCAGUGAAGGAAGUGACACCCCUGUUCUGUUGUCCCUAACCCUCCCUUCCUUCAGCUGAGGAAGAAUCCCCACAGAUUCUCACAGCACAAGAUUCCAUACUCCUCUCUCAGUGUGGCCUCCCCCUGCACCGCUACCCCGGGCAGCCUGUCCGCCUUGGUUCCAGGUCCAGCGGAGGGCCAGCCACUGACAUUUCCAGACUCAGAGGAAGCUGAAAAUGAGCAGCCAGUGUCUGAAUAUCUGCAGAAACUCCUGAAUGAGAUUUACUGGAGUGUCGCCAAAGAAAUGAAUGAGUGUGACCAAGACAGCGAAUGGCCACCCGAGAGGUAUCUGCCACACCUGGGUUUUCCAGGCUCACAUUUGAUUAAAUUAGACUUUAAACAGCUCUAAGCAAAUCGGUUUGAUCACAAAGGAACAUGAGGAGUACUUGAUGGAGAUUUGUUUACUUUACCUUCUACUACAAUAUUUUGUUUUAUUUUUUAUGGCUGCGAUCGUUUAGUUUUUUCAAACCUUCUGAUGUGAAAAAAUCUUUUGCCUCACAGUCUAAUAGAAUGGGUUCAUGAUUUACAGUCAAAUCCAGCAUGUUUUGUUGAAGGUAUCAGUGAAGGCAUCAUCAGAAAUGCUACCCAGUGUGUGUCUUGAGCUGCCUGCAGGUGUGUUGUUACCACGCUGACUGUCCCUGUAGCUCAUUGCCCCCCAGGCCUCUCCAAGGGAAAAGCAAGAAUCCAGCAGACUUGGAAAGUGCCCCUCUGAGACCAAAAAGGUGAGAGUGGGACUGAAAAACUGUUGCACCAAAGACAGAUUUUUGUGCCGUGUUUCCAGUAAGAGCAAGAGGCCACGUACCUAGGGAGUGAUCCUGCUCACACGCACUGUCAUUCCAUGAGCUUCUCAGUGGAAGCUCAGAACUCACCCUCAGAAGUGCUGAGUCCCUCUCAACAUUUAAGGUCUCAGAUCACUUUCAGACCCCUUUCUUUCCUCAUCUAACAGCUCCAUAAAGGUGCAUUACAUUAUCUGUUUAAAUUACACACACACACACACACACACUGGCUGAAGCCGCUUGUCCCGAGUGGGGUCGCGGUGAACCGGAACGCUGCAACACAGGGCAUAAGGCUGGAGGGGGAGGGGACACACCCAGGAUGGGACGCCAGGCCAUCACAAGGCACCCCAAGCAGUACUCGAACCCCAGACCAGCCAGAGAGCAUGACCCAGCCAAGCCCGCUGUGCCACCACGCCCCCAUCUGUUUAAAUUAAAUACAUAUAAAAUUACAAAAACAUGUUGACUCCCAGUGUAGCUCCUGGUGCAAUAUAUGCUGGCUAAAGCAGAGACUUUGGACUAAGUGACUCUGCACUCUGAGAUUCGUGUCUGCAUCUGUAUCUCUCCAUCUGCUGGUGAAAUGUACUUUCUUUUACUCUGAGCUUUGGAGAAAAAAACAUCUGCUAAAUGAAUAAAUGUAAAUAUGGAGUGUCCCCA